This 83-nucleotide transfer RNA is filed under the name Cordylochernes scorpioides. RNAcentral's name for it is "tRNA-Thr". The record is from RNAcentral. Lineage: Eukaryota; Metazoa; Arthropoda; Arachnida; Pseudoscorpiones; Chernetidae.
AAUAAAAUAGCCUAGUGGACAUGGCAUCUGCCCGGUAAGCGGAACACUGUAGGUUCGAUUCCCAUCCCUGGACACUUUUAUUU